AAAGUCGUAACAAGGUUUCCGUAGGUGAACCUGCGGAAGGAUCAUUAUCGAGUAAGGGUCUUUUAGGCCCCAUCUCCAACUCUUGUACUGAAAAACCAAGUUGCUCUGGCGGGGCUGGUCCUUGGCUAGUGCCUGCCGAGUGGCCUUUCAAAACCUCCUGGAUUUAUCUGAGGGUGAAAAUAAUUAAAACUUUCAACAACGGAUCUCUUGGUUCUG
Molecule: unclassified non-coding RNA, 216 nt
Filed under: Ascomycota sp.
Lineage: Eukaryota; Fungi; Ascomycota
Description: partial contains small subunit ribosomal RNA, internal transcribed spacer 1, and 5.8S ribosomal RNA
Rfam family: Eukaryotic small subunit ribosomal RNA (bases 1-47)
Source: RNAcentral